GAUGAAGAACGUAGCGAAAUGCGAUACUUGGUGUGAAUUGCAGAAUCCCGUGAACCAUCGAGUCUUUGAACGCAAGUUGCGCCCGAAGCCAUUAGGCCGAGGGCACGCCUGCCUGGGCGUCACACGUCGUUGCCCCCCCAUCUACUCCUUCGGGAUUGCGGGGGGCGGAUGAUGGCCUCCCGUGCGCCUCGUCGCGCGGUUGGCAUAAAUGCCAAGUCCUCGGCGACGCACGCCACGACAAUCGGUGGUUGCGAAACCUCGGUUGCCCGUCGUGUGCGGUCAUCGCGCAUCGAGAGCUCGAAAAAAUUGCCGGGCUCCGGCUCGGCUUUCAACGCGACCCCAGGUCAGGCGGGGUUACCCGCUGAAUUUAAGCAUAUCAAUAAGCGGAGGA
This 391-nucleotide unclassified non-coding RNA is filed under the name soil metagenome. RNAcentral's name for it is "partial contains 5.8S ribosomal RNA, internal transcribed spacer 2, and large subunit ribosomal RNA". The stretch from base 1 to 122 matches the Rfam family "5.8S ribosomal RNA", at positions 35 to 154 of the family's 154-position model. The record is from RNAcentral.